This 213-nucleotide ribosomal RNA is filed under the name Pectobacterium carotovorum. RNAcentral describes it as "partial 16S ribosomal RNA". It matches the Rfam family "Bacterial small subunit ribosomal RNA", at positions 1 to 209 of the family's 1533-position model. Lineage: Bacteria; Pseudomonadati; Pseudomonadota; Gammaproteobacteria; Enterobacterales; Pectobacteriaceae. The record is from RNAcentral.
AAAUUGAAGAGUUUGAUCAUGGCUCAGAUUGAACGCUGGCGGCAGGCCUAACACAUGCAAGUCGAGCGGUAGCACAGAGGAGCUUGCUCCUUGGGUGACGAGCGGCGGACGGGUGAGUAAUGUCUGGGAAACUGCCUGAUGGAGGGGGAUAACUACUGGAAACGGUAGCUAAUACCGCAUAACGUCUUCGGACCAAAGAGGGGGACCUUCGGG